AUGAUCUGGCAUAGCCUCCCCAUCCUCUCCUGCCUCCUCGUAGCGGCGGAUGUUUUCUUGUUGCCGAUCUGCGACGCUCACUCCAAAUUCGCCAAGAAGAGCAACGACGUUGUCAACGGCCGCCUCCUCACCUCCAAGCUCGACGCCAAGCGCACAGUGAUCGUCGGCCCGAACGACGAGUUCAAGACCAUCCAGUCCGCUAUCGACGCCGUGCCUGCCGGGAACUCGGAGUGGAUCAUCGUCCAUCUCCGCUCCCCGUCUACGCGUACGUUCCCCAAAACUUAUUGUCUUACACCAUUCAUCUUCAUCAGGGGCAACGGCAAGGGCCGGACCUCCAUCUCCUAUGAGUCCGCCUCCCCACACAACGCCGAGUCUGCCACGUCGAUGCACGUAGACGACAUCAUCGUCUUCGGCCUCAGCUUCAGAACGGUCUGUCGUCUCGUGCUUCCGAACAGCCCAGAUAUCCGCACGGUGGCAGCAAUGGUCGGUGGCGACAAAGUGGCCUUCUACCAGUACCACUGCGCGUUGUACAGCCCCCACCACACCCUCUUCGACCAAGCCGGCCGUCAUUACUACGAGAGCUGCUACAUCCAGGGCAACAUCGAUUUCAUCUUCGGCGGCCAGUCCAUAUUCCAGUGUGCGGAGAUCUUCGUGAAGCCCAACCGGCGGACGCCGAUCUUGGGGUCCAUCGCGGCGCAGGACCGCAAGGAAGAGGACAACAGCAGCGACUUCGUGUUCCUCAAGAGCAAGGUGUACGGUGUAGGGGAGGUGUAUCUGGGCCGCGCCAAUGAGGCCUACUCGCGCGUCCUCUUCGCCGAUACCUACCUCUCCAGGACCGUCAACCCGGCCGGGUGGACGGACUACGGGUACUCAGGCAGCACAGAGUACGUACACCCAAGCAAACACAACGAGCCUCCCAUGCAUGGAUGA
Molecule: ribosomal RNA, 930 nt
Filed under: Triticum aestivum (bread wheat)
Lineage: Eukaryota; Viridiplantae; Streptophyta; Magnoliopsida; Poales; Poaceae
Description: partial small subunit ribosomal RNA
Source: RNAcentral